UGCAACACCAACCUUCCAUACUGAUGUC
Molecule: non-coding RNA, 28 nt
Filed under: Homo sapiens (human)
Lineage: Eukaryota; Metazoa; Chordata; Mammalia; Primates; Hominidae
Source: RNAcentral